UGACUGCUAAUUAGACUCCUCUGGGAAGGUAGAGGGGGGCAACACAUAAUGCCUUCGCUGUGGGAGCUUCAUCAAGGGGAUGAUUCUUGGACGGACAUUUUUUCCUCCCUCUUUCCACAGGGGCAUGCUAGCCCUGUCAUUCUAGGAGUUUAUUAUCCUUCAGACACAGCUACUUAUGUUUUUAAUUCCCUCACAGGAUGAAGACAUGAAGAGAAAGUUUCAAGAUCUUCUGUCUGAGGAAAAUGAAUCCACAGCUCUACCCCAGGUUCUAGCCCAGCCUUCUACUAGUCGAAAGCGGCCCCGUGAAGGGGAAGCCGAGGGUGCCGAGACCACAAAGCGCCCGGCUGUGUGUGCUGCUGUGUUGUGAACUCCGUGGUUUGAACACGAAAGAAAUGUACCUUCUUUCACUCUGUCAUCUUUCUUUUCUUUGAGUCUGUUUUUUUAUAGUUUGUAUUUUAAUUAUGGGAAUAAUUGCUUUUUCACAGUCACUGAUGUACAAUUAAAAACCUGAUGGA
RNAcentral lists this small RNA (515 nucleotides) under Pan troglodytes (chimpanzee). RNAcentral's name for it is "retained intron". The record is from RNAcentral. Lineage: Eukaryota; Metazoa; Chordata; Mammalia; Primates; Hominidae.